CCAGGAGCGUCGCUUGAUGGA
Molecule: non-coding RNA, 21 nt
Filed under: Arabidopsis thaliana (thale cress)
Lineage: Eukaryota; Viridiplantae; Streptophyta; Magnoliopsida; Brassicales; Brassicaceae
Source: RNAcentral